Molecule: ribosomal RNA, 439 nt
Filed under: uncultured bacterium
Lineage: Bacteria
Description: bacterial SSU rRNA
Rfam family: Bacterial small subunit ribosomal RNA
Source: RNAcentral
ACUCCUACGGGAGGCAGCAGUGGGGAAUAUUGCACAAUGGGCGCAAGCCUGAUGCAGCCAUGCCGCGUGUAUGAAGAAGGCCUUCGGGUUGUAAAGUACUUUCAGCAGUGAGGAAGGUGAGUCGUUAAUAGCGGCCUCAUUUGACGUUUAGCUUGCAGAAGAAGACACCGGCCGUAACUCCGUGCCAGCAGCCGCGGUAAUACGGAGGGUGCGAGCGUUAAUCGGAAUUACUGGGCGUAAAGCGCAUGCAGGUGGUUUGUUAAGUCAGAUGUGAAAGCCCGGGGCUCAACCUCGGAAUUGCAUUUGAAACUGGCAGACUAGAGUACUGUAGAGGGGGGUAGAAUUUCAGGUGUAGCGGUGAAAUGCGUAGAGAUCUGAAGGAAUACCGGUGGCGAAGGCGGCCCCCUGGACAGAUACUGACACUCAGAUGCGAAAGCGU